GACGAACGCUGGCGGCGUGCUUAACACAUGCAAGUCGAACGGAAAGGCCCCUUUGGGGGUACUCGAGUGGCGAACGGGUGCGUAACACGUGAGUAACCUGCCCUUGACUUCGGGAUAACUUCAGGAAACUGGGGCUAAUACCGGAUAGGAAUCCUUGCUGCAUGGGGGGGGUUGGAAAGCUUCGGCGGUUUUGGAUGGACUCGCGGCUUAUCAGCUUGUUGGUGGGGUAGUGGCUUACCAAGGCUUUGACGGGUAGCCGGCCUGAGAGGGUGACCGGCCACAUUGGGACUGAGAUACGGCCCAGACUCCUACGGGAGGCAGCAGUGGGGAAUAUUGCACCAUGGGCGGAAGCCGGAUGCAGAAACGCCGCGGGCGGGAUGACGGCCUUCGGGUUGUAAACCGCUUUCAGCAGGGGCGAAGCUUGUGGUGACGGUACCUGCAGAAGAAGCACCGGCUAACUACGUG
This 465-nucleotide ribosomal RNA is filed under the name uncultured bacterium. RNAcentral's name for it is "partial 16S ribosomal RNA". It matches the Rfam family "Bacterial small subunit ribosomal RNA", at positions 28 to 507 of the family's 1533-position model. The record is from RNAcentral.